AUUGAACGCUGGCGGCAGGCCUAACACAUGCAAGUCGGACGGUAGCACAGAGGAGCUUGCUCCUCGGGUGACGAGUGGCGGACGGGUGAGUAAUGUCUGGGGAUCUGCCCGAUAGAGGGGGAUAACCACUGGAAACGGUGGCUAAUACCGCAUAACGUCGCAAGACCAAAGAGGGGGACCUUCGGGCCUCUCACUAUCGGAUGAACCCAGAUGGGAUUAGGUAGUAGGCGGGUUAACGGCCCACCUAGGCGACGAUCCCUAGCUGGUCUGAGAGGAUGACCAGCCACACUGGAACUGAGUCACGGUCCAGACUCCUACGGGAGGCAGCAGUGGGGAAUAUUGCACAAUGGGCGCAAGCCUGAUGCAGCCAUGCCGCGUGUAUGAAGAAGGCCUUCGGGUUGUAAAGUACUUUCAGCGGGGAGGAAGGCGAUGUGGUUAAUAACCGCAUUGAUUGACGUUACCCGCAGAAGAAGCACCGGCUAACUCCGUGCCAGCAGCCGCCGUAA
Molecule: ribosomal RNA, 506 nt
Filed under: uncultured bacterium
Lineage: Bacteria
Description: partial 16S ribosomal RNA
Rfam family: Bacterial small subunit ribosomal RNA
Source: RNAcentral